AAAUUGUGAAUAAGAAAUGAUCCUACAAAAAUCUCUCGUGUUUUAUUUACUUACUCAUCUCUUUUGAAAAAAAAGGUCGUAUAAUUAAAAUAGCAUUGAUAAUAACCACAACCAAAAUGGAAUCUCCUACCUUCUAGUUAUCAUUUUUGAUAAAUUAAAGGAGAAAAGGGACCUUGCUCAUUUUUGUAGUGAUUUGGUUUUAAAUCCUUUCACAUAUAUAGGCACGUCCCAAGUUUGAAGAAGCAAAACCUUUCUUUUUCUUCUGAAUUAUUUUAGACUUGUAAUCACUAGUUUAAGGCGUUGAAGAGCUUUAUAGGGGGAGAGACUGCUGGAUUUCUAAGUCCUUUGAUCAAAAUUGUUAUCAGAAUAUCAACUAAGAGUGAGAUAUGGCUGAUCCGAUUUGGUAUAUGGCAAUUCUGCUUGACACCGUGCAAAAACUUGAAAGGCUGUUUCAUGAACACUAGUGAGAGUUAGGUGACAUGAGAGCAAGGGUGCUUUGUGGGAUUCGAAGGCUGAGGGAUUUGCUGCCUAAUGAAUUUCCGAUUGACAAUAAUAAUAAUUAGGUUAUGUAUUUUUUUUCUCAUAUACAAUUUAUUUUAUCAGAUUUACCUAAUGUUGUAAAUGUUUUGUAUCUAAUGAAUGAGAAAAGCUAUAUUUGAUCGACUAAGUUUAUUCUUAUUUUUUUUUC
Long non-coding RNA from Capsicum annuum, 688 nucleotides. RefSeq lists it as uncharacterized. NCBI's taxonomy places the organism in Eukaryota, Viridiplantae, Streptophyta, Magnoliopsida, Solanales, Solanaceae. The record is from RefSeq and is a predicted model, not a curated record. The transcript is spliced from 3 exons.